AUUGAACGCUGGCGGCAGGCCUAACACAUGCAAGUCGAGCGAGCGGCGGACGGGUGAGUAAUGUCUGGGAAACUGCCUGAUGGAGGGGGAUAACUACUGGAAACGGUAGCUAAUACCGCAUACCAUCAGAUGUGCCCAGAUGGGAUUAGCUAGUAGGUGGGGAAAUGGCACACCUAUGCGACGAUCCCUAGCUGGUCUGAGAGGAUGACCAGCCACACUGGAACGGAGCGACGGUCCAGGCUCCUAGGGGAGGCAGCUGUGGGGUAUAUUUCACAAUGGGCGCAAGCCUGAUGCAGCCGUGCCGGGUGUGUGACGGAAGCCUUCGGGUUGUAGAGCACUUUCAGCGGGGGGGCGUUCCCCGCAGAAGAGGCACCGGAUAACUCCGGGCCAGCAGCCGCGGUAAUAC
Molecule: ribosomal RNA, 406 nt
Filed under: uncultured bacterium
Lineage: Bacteria
Description: partial 16S ribosomal RNA
Rfam family: Bacterial small subunit ribosomal RNA
Source: RNAcentral